This 388-nucleotide unclassified non-coding RNA is filed under the name soil metagenome. Its description in RNAcentral is "partial contains 5.8S ribosomal RNA, internal transcribed spacer 2, and large subunit ribosomal RNA". The stretch from base 5 to 123 matches the Rfam family "5.8S ribosomal RNA", at positions 38 to 154 of the family's 154-position model. The record is from RNAcentral.
GAUGGAAGAACGUAGCGAAAUGCGAUAAGUAAUGUGAAUUGCAGAAUUCAGUGAAUCAUCGAAUCUUUGAACGCACCUUGCACCCUUUGGACUGCUCCAAAGGGUAUGCUCGUUUGAGUGUCAUUGUACUCUCACACUCUCUGAUCCUUUGGAUUUGGGGAGCAGUGGACUUGGGUGCUUGCUGCUUCCUUGUGGCUCACCUGAAAUGCAUCAGUGCAUCUCUCGAUUGGACAUAGUACGGCGUGAUAAGUGUCUUCGCCGGCACCUCAUAUGAGGGUGGCCGAUCGGGAGCUCUGUGCUUUCAAACCGUCUUCGGACAACGCUGACAACUUGACCUCAAAUCGAGUAGGACUACCCGCUGAACUUAAGCAUAUCAAUAAGCGGAGGA